This 253-nucleotide ribosomal RNA is filed under the name uncultured bacterium. RNAcentral's name for it is "partial 16S ribosomal RNA". It matches the Rfam family "Bacterial small subunit ribosomal RNA", at positions 524 to 776 of the family's 1533-position model. The record is from RNAcentral.
UCCGGAGGGCGCAAGCGUUGUUCGGAAUUACUGGGCGUAAAGCGCGUGUAGGCGGUUCGGUAAGUCGGGUGUGAAAGCCCGGAGCUCCACUCCGGAAUUGCAUUCGAAACUGCCGGGCUAGAGUCUCGGAGGGGAGGGCAGAAUUCCCAGUGUAGGGGUGAAAUCCGUAGAUAUUGGGAGGAAUACCAGCGGCGAUGGCGGCCCUCUGGACGAUGACUGACGCUCAGACGCGAAAGCGUGGGGAGUAUACAGG